Long non-coding RNA from Drosophila takahashii, 413 nucleotides. RefSeq lists it as uncharacterized. NCBI's taxonomy places the organism in Eukaryota, Metazoa, Arthropoda, Insecta, Diptera, Drosophilidae. The record is from RefSeq and is a predicted model, not a curated record.
UCGAGUUAGCAAGAACUUGGUUAAAGCUAAAUGUCGAGCCGUUCGAGACUGUUCUGAAUCACUGGAACUCUAGCUUUAUGUGGAGGACUAAUUUUCUUAAAUCAGAAGCAAAUUUCUCCGAUGUGUUGGAUGAAUUUCCAAUUUUAAAGCAAUCAUUUGGACACUCUCUGAUUGAGGCCGAUUUUGAUUUGCUGUAUCCCCAUCAAAGCAGAAAAUUGGUUGAAAAAUGGGAUAAUUUUAAAAUACAAAUUGUUCCCCUUCUCAAGUCCAAAGUCAGAGAGCAACAAAGUUUAAAUUUGUUGAAAAUUUUUGACCAGCAAUCAGAAGGAACUAAGUCAACUUUAAUAUGGAUGUGCCUACAUGCAGUUUUGGUUCCAACAAACAGAUGCAAAAAACCUGGAUCCAAUAAUCCA